CCACCGAGUCUGGAAGCCCACACUCACCCCUUUACCCGGGAAACGCGGCCGGAGCCGGCGGCGGGUCGGGAGUCCGAGAUGGUAGAUCCCCCUCCAGGCGCCUCGCUGACAUUUUGUCCCGGACGGAAAACCUCCGCGCGUGCCCCUUAAAGACACAGCGCUGCAUUCACACGUCUGCGGGGAAAGGGGGGCCGUCACGUGUGGCCUUCGCCCGAAAGCGGUAGGGGAGUCGCUCUGAAACCGCCAAGGAUCGCGAGCGACAGAUUUGUGUUGGCCAGGGUUUUAAGAUGACGCAAUAGCUGAGUGUGGUUGAAAUGUAACUAUUGUUUUACAACUUUGCAUUAACCUUCCAAGACCUGAAUUCCCGGGCCUGAGUCUCAGAGCGCGGUUUGCAUCUUUGCAGGCUGUAGGCGCAUGAUGUCACAAGUUAUUGGAAGAAAUCCCUCCAACCUAGGUUGGGACAGAUGAAGGCGGCGCUUAUUGGUGUUCACCAAAACACCAGCAUGGUGUACCAGCUUUGGCUAGAUGAUGCUCAGACGGGCCUGUCUAAUUGCAGGAAAACAAACUCAGGGCUCCCACUGAUUCUACAUUACGAACACCAGAGACUGGGUAAUUAAUAAAAAGAAGAAAUUGAUCUGGCCUACAGUUCUGGAGCCUUGGAAGUCCGAGAUCAAGGAGCUGCAUCUGGAAAACACAGAUCCUGGUGCCGAACAUGAGGACAGGGCAGGCCGAAGGAGAAAGUGGAAGGAGGGGAGCUUCUCUCUCAGCCUCAUCCUUCUGGGCCUGGAUGCUGGAGAGUCAUGAGGUGCUUCAGAGUACUCUGGGUGAGGAGGGAAAGAUGGUGCCCACCACAUGGAGGCCAGCCUAGGUCUUGUAUGAAACCUGUGAGGUAUGAAGGAGUAAUUUUUCUUUCUAAGCCAUUUCUCUGCUUAUUUCUCAGAUCAGUGCCCUUUAUGUUUGAACUUGGUGUGAAUGACCAUCUUAGUGAUUCUUACUGCAAUGACAAUAGGGAGUUAAAUGACAUAAGUUUCUUUUUCAUGGGAAAGGAUAUAAAAAUGUAUCUGCAUGUGGUCAGUGUAGAAUAUUCCCAGCCAGAGGUGCAGUUUUCUGGAUCCCUCCCACAGACAUUGUGUGGAAGCACACCUAUUAACCGAUAAGGGGCGAAAUUUCACCAGAAUAGAGAAGCAUCCUCUUUGCCCUUUUCACAGGGGUGGGGAUGAGGUUAGGGGUGGGGUUAUACCUUCUUUGCUCACCCAGCUGCUUCUAUAUAUCUUAGCCUGGAUAUGCCUAAACUUAAGCCAAAA
This 1304-nucleotide long non-coding RNA is filed under the name Homo sapiens (human). Its description in RNAcentral is "ZBED3 antisense RNA 1". Lineage: Eukaryota; Metazoa; Chordata; Mammalia; Primates; Hominidae. The record is from RNAcentral.